ACUUUUGGGUGCAGCACUCAAGGCUUCUGGGAAAGAUAAAUCCAAACAAAAUGGUGCCACCAGAGCAACCUCUACACCAUGCUUCAUGCACAGGAAAGAAGGAUGCUGGGCAUGAGCCUGUCCCAAACCAUGGCCACCACCAAGACUUUGUCUCCUCUGCAACCAGGAGGGUCACUGGAACUACAACUGCCCUGUCUGCCAGAGAGCAGGAGCAUGGAGACUGUCCCAGGGACCAUGUCAUCCUGCCAUACCUGUACCAGCCAGCACCAUGACCUGGAAUCAGAAGAAAGAAGCCUGGAAACAAGGCCAGGAGAAA
Cavia porcellus (domestic guinea pig) is the source of this 316-nucleotide long non-coding RNA. The record is from Ensembl. Lineage: Eukaryota; Metazoa; Chordata; Mammalia; Rodentia; Caviidae.